Molecule: ribosomal RNA, 497 nt
Filed under: uncultured bacterium
Lineage: Bacteria
Description: partial 16S ribosomal RNA
Rfam family: Bacterial small subunit ribosomal RNA
Source: RNAcentral
GAUGAACGCUGGCGGCGUGCCUAAUACAUGCAAGUCGAGCGAACAGACGAGGAGCUUGCUCCUCUGACGUUAGCGGCGGACGGGUGAGUAACACGUGGAUAACCUACCUAUAAGACUGGGAUAACUUCGGGAAACCGGAGCUAAUACCGGAUAAUAUAUUGAACCGCAUUGUUCAAUAGUGAACGACGGUUUUGCUGUCACUUAUAGAUGGAUCCGCGCCGCAUUAGCUAGUUGGUAAGGUAACGGCUUACCAAGGCAACGAUGCGUAGCCGACCUGAGAGGGUGAUCGGCCACACUGGAACGGAGACACGGUCCAGACUCCUACGGGAGGCAGCAGUAGGGAAUCUUCCGCAAUGGGCGAAAGCCUGACGGAGCAACGCCGCGUGAGUGAUGAAGGUCUUCGGAUCGUAAAACUCUGUUAUUAGGGAAGAACAAAUGUGUAAGUAACUAUGCACGUCUUGACGGUACCUAAUCAGAAAGCCACGGCUAACUACGUG